Pelobates cultripes (western spadefoot toad) is the source of this 391-nucleotide non-coding RNA. The record is from the annotation of a GenBank genome assembly. NCBI's taxonomy places the organism in Eukaryota, Metazoa, Chordata, Amphibia, Anura, Pelobatidae.
AUUUCAAAGUAGCAUAUGGGGUCACAUUUAGCAUCAUUGUCCAUUAAGAUGGGGGUGCCUGGACUCAAUAUACUCUCCUUCUGUUCUCAAUGCAGACCUAACAUUGUUUUUUCAUGUUUGCAUUUUUUUUUCUGAUUUUGUUAUGGUAUGUGGUUUUGGAAGCUCCAAAGCUCAUUCUUGUAGACAUUUCGGUUGUGUUUGUCCUUGUGGGCCUUCAUUCUGGAGCUACUAUAGGUUAUGUUACCACUGACUAUCACCUGACCUCAUCUAUCAAUCAAACAGCACAGCUAGGAAGACAAACCCAUACGGUUAAGUAACUCUGGCAAUUCAUUAAAUAUUCAUUUAAUUCAUUGCUAGCGACAAGUUAUCCAGGAAACCUUUUAAAUCUUAA